AAGGAUCAUUACCAGGAAUCGGGGCCUCGCGCCCCGUCUUCCCACCCCAUGUUUAUCUCACCGCGUUGCCUCGGCGGGCCUGCGGCUCGUUCCGCUGUCGGCUCCGGCUGGCUAGCGCCCGCCAGAGGACCCAACAAACUCUAUUUUAACGUGUCGUCUGAACGCAAGAUAAAUAAAUCAAAACUUUCAACAACGGAUCUCUUGGUUCUG
This 210-nucleotide unclassified non-coding RNA is filed under the name uncultured fungus. Its description in RNAcentral is "partial contains 18S rRNA, ITS1, 5.8S rRNA, ITS2 and 28S rRNA". Lineage: Eukaryota; Fungi. The record is from RNAcentral.